This 376-nucleotide ribosomal RNA is filed under the name uncultured organism. RNAcentral describes it as "partial 16S ribosomal RNA". It matches the Rfam family "Bacterial small subunit ribosomal RNA", at positions 527 to 896 of the family's 1533-position model. The record is from RNAcentral.
UAGGGGUGCAAGCGUUGUCCGGAAUCAUUGGGCGUAAAGGGUGCGUAGGCGUCCGGACAAGUUGAAUGUUAAAUCCUUCGGCUUAACUGAAGAUCUGCAUUCAAAACUGUCUGGAUUGAGUUUGAGAGAGGAAAGUGGAAUUCCUGGUGUAGCGGUGACAUGCGUAGAUAUCAGGAGGAACACCAAUGGCGAAGGCAGCUUUCUGGCUCAAAACUGACGCUGAGGCACGAAAGCGUGGGGGGGAGCAAACAGGAUUAGAUACCCUGGUAGUCCACGCCGUAAACGAUGAGCACUAGGAUGUCCGGGGGAUUCGACCCUUCGGUGUCUUAAGCUAACGCAAUAAGUGCUCCGGCCUGGGGACUCGACCGCAAGGUUG